GGGGUUCCGGCCCGGGGGCUGCGGCCGCCGGGUCUGAAAGUUAGCUACCCUGGUUUCGGUAAGGG
RNAcentral lists this ribosomal RNA (65 nucleotides) under Histoplasma capsulatum. Its description in RNAcentral is "partial 18S rRNA". The record is from RNAcentral. Lineage: Eukaryota; Fungi; Ascomycota; Eurotiomycetes; Onygenales; Ajellomycetaceae.